This is a non-coding RNA of Oryzias latipes (Japanese medaka), 1276 nucleotides long. NCBI's taxonomy places the organism in Eukaryota, Metazoa, Chordata, Actinopteri, Beloniformes, Adrianichthyidae. The record is from RefSeq and is a predicted model, not a curated record.
CUCGGCCAUGGGCAGCAUUUGGCCAUUGGAACCGCCCACUUCCUGUUUUCACACCUCCGGCUAGCCUCACAGCUCCGGAUGAGACCUGCAGGCACAGAUUGAGCAAAAUACAGCCUCUGCAAUUGAGCGCGCCUCCCAGGUGACGAACAGUCUGUCUGCGCCGGGGACUUUCUGACGCUCCCACCUGCUGAACAGCUGCUGCUUUUUAUAUAUUGAAUUUUAGAAUUAUUUUAAGGAACUGUCACCGCUCGUGAUCAGAAUCCCUGUAGACUCCUGACCAGGGUUCUGCCGGGCCCGGGUGCUCCUCAGCUGCCUUUGAGCCUGAGCAACGGAGGACUAACGGGGCGUCACGCCUGAAUCCUCCACCAACGAGAAUAAAAGCUCGGCCGCGCUCCGUUCAUUGAGCAGCACCCUACGGGCGGACUUACUCUCACGAGAGUUUCUUUUAUUUUGUUUUUAGCAUUUUUACACAAUUCUUUUAGACCUGUGUUUUAACUGGAUUUUAUUGUGUGAUCCACCUUUGUUUCCCCCCUCCCUCAGUGCUGAGGACUCAGGUGCCAGCCCAGAAUUCUAGGUGGAGGCUAUCCCCCCAGUUUGGAGUGACGUGUCCUUGGGUGAAGGGUUCACAGUGUGUGUGGUCUGCAUCACAAGCAGCAGCUGGUUCCGCUUGGAAGUGAGGAAGGUGAUUUGUGCAAGUGCUGAGGACUCAGGUGCCAGCCCAGAAUUCUAGGUGGAGGCUAUCCCCCCAGUUUGGAGUGACGUGUCCUUGGGUGAAGGGUUCACAGUGUGUGUGGUCUGCAUCACGUGAGUGGGGUGAAAUUUUAUCUUUGUUCUCUGGGAGCCUCCACCUCCCUUAAGUCUUCUGGUCCUCAGCAUACUGAAUUUGUUGUGUAUGUCUUUUAACGGGUCCAUUUUUAAUUGGUUUUAAUGUUUCGUAAUAAAAUCAUUUUAAUUUUUGUACCUCCGUCUCCUGCCUUCUUUUGUGUGCAUCUGCCAAAAGAAAAAUAAACUCCCUCGGGACCACAAUAGCACAAGGAUUAAAGAGGCUGAUAAAGAACCAGACUGGUGUUUCUGUCUUGUCUUCUUGUGAUUCAUGUUUUUUAGUAAAGAUUAAAACUGUUUCUGUUCUUUUUAGUUCUCAGUUUUCUGUCCCAGUCUUUACUGUGAAGAACAAAGUGGACGUGAACAUCGGUCAGAAGUGUGGACGAUGAGACACAGUGACUCAUUGCAAUGUGAUUGGAUGAAUGCAGGCACAUUAAAAGAACUUUAACUGUGA